GAACAAAUAAAUUGUAAGUCGCUUUGGAUAAAAGCGUCUGCUAAAUGCAAUGUA
Non-coding RNA from Larimichthys crocea (large yellow croaker), 54 nucleotides. The record is from Rfam. NCBI's taxonomy places the organism in Eukaryota, Metazoa, Chordata, Actinopteri, Sciaenidae.